RNAcentral lists this ribosomal RNA (250 nucleotides) under uncultured bacterium. RNAcentral's name for it is "partial 16S ribosomal RNA". It matches the Rfam family "Bacterial small subunit ribosomal RNA", at positions 524 to 772 of the family's 1533-position model. The record is from RNAcentral.
UACGGAGGGUGCAAGCGUUAUCCGGAAUCACUGGGUUUAAAGGGUGCGUAGGCGGUUCGGUAAGUCAGUUGUGAAAUCUCUUGGCUUAACCAAUGAAAUUGCGAUUGAUACUGUCGGACUUGAAUAAGGUUGAGGUAGGCGGAAUGUGGCAUGUAGCGGUGAAAUGCAUAGAUAUGCCAUAGAACACCGAUUGCGAAGGCAGCUUGCUGGACCUUUAUUGACGCUGAGGCACGAAAGCGUGGGGAGCAAA